RNAcentral lists this unclassified non-coding RNA (360 nucleotides) under uncultured Ignavibacteria bacterium. Its description in RNAcentral is "contains 16S-23S intergenic spacer region". The record is from RNAcentral. Lineage: Bacteria; Pseudomonadati; Ignavibacteriota; Ignavibacteria.
UCCGGUUUGUCACCGGCAGUCCCAUUAGAGUGCUCAACUAAAUGUAGGGGUUGCGCUCGUUGCAGGACUUAACCUAACACCUCACGGCACGAGCUGACGACAGCCAUGCAGCACCUGUACCAGUGUGUAUUGCUACAAGACCGACUUUCAUCGGUUGUCACUGGCCUUUCAAAUCCGGGUAAGGUUCUUCGCGUUGCAUCGAAUUGAACCACUUGCUCCACUGCUUGUGCGGGCCCCCGUCAAUUCCUUUGAGUUUCAACCUUGCGAUCGUACUCCCCAGGUGGAAUACUUAAUGCGUUAGCUUUGGCACUGAACCUUACGGCCCAGCACCUAGUAUUCAUCGUUUAAGGCGUGGACUAC